This is a non-coding RNA of Jeongeupia sp., 73 nucleotides long. NCBI's taxonomy places the organism in Bacteria, Pseudomonadati, Pseudomonadota, Betaproteobacteria, Neisseriales, Chitinibacteraceae. The record is from Rfam.
CGCGGGAUGGAGCAGUUGGCAGCUCGUCGGGCUCAUAACCCGAAGGUCACAGGUUCGAGUCCUGUUCCCGCAA